Molecule: ribosomal RNA, 429 nt
Filed under: Verrucomicrobiota bacterium
Lineage: Bacteria; Pseudomonadati; Verrucomicrobiota
Description: Verrucomicrobia bacterium partial 16S ribosomal RNA
Rfam family: Bacterial small subunit ribosomal RNA
Source: RNAcentral
UGGGGAAUCUUCCGCAAUGGACGAAAGUCUGACGGAGCAACGCCGCGUGAGUGAAGACGGCCUUCGGGUUGUAAAGCUCUGUGAUCCGGGACGAAAGAGCCUUGGGUAAAUAGCCUAAGGAAGUGACGGUACCGGAAAAGCAAGCCACGGCUAACUACGUGCCAGCAGCCGCGGUAAUACGUAGGUGGCAAGCGUUGUCCGGAAUUAUUGGGCGUAAAGCGCGCGCAGGCGGCUUCCUAAGUCCAUCUUAAAAGUGCGGGGCUUAACCCCGUGAUGGGAUGGAAACUGGGAAGCUGGAGUAUCGGAGAGGAAAGUGGAAUUCCUAGUGUAGCGGUGAAAUGCGUAGAGAUUAGGAGGAACACCGGUGGCGAAAGCGGCUUUUUGGCCUGCAACUGACACUGAGGCGCGAAAGCGUGGGGAGCAAACAGG